This 24-nucleotide small RNA is filed under the name Brassica napus (rape). Its description in RNAcentral is "PsRNA_81". The record is from RNAcentral. Lineage: Eukaryota; Viridiplantae; Streptophyta; Magnoliopsida; Brassicales; Brassicaceae.
GAACUUUGAGGGAAUUGCCAAAAG